UUCCGAAAAACGCCACAGCGUCCUUUCGGUUUUGAGGGGGAGAAAAAGCAGAGAUGUAAUCAGAGCUACAAUUGCCCCCGGACGGGACAAGCUGGGCUGCCUCCUGUUUUAUGAGCGGCCGGAACAAUUACCGUUUAAAAUAAUCACAAGACACUGGCAUGAGCCUGGUGACUAACAGGGCAGGGGCUGGAGAGGCAUCACAAGACAGUCCUGCGGUCCUUGUGACUUCACCCCGUGGGGCACGAGCCCUGGCCCAGGGGCCCCGCAAGCUACUGCUCCCGCCGGAGAGAGCGCUCAGGCUAUGCCCGCCAGCCCGAAGGUGCCGGGACACACGGCAGGGGUGCAGCGGGGAGGGACCGCGUGGCUGUGCUCCCGGCCCUCCCCGUCCCCCCUGCCGGGAGCCUGUGGGGCUCAGGCUGCCCCACGUGACAUGUGCAACACGGAGAGAGAAGCAGGACAGCCUGAGCACGGCUGUCUCCCCUGACACGAGGAACACUGCCCGCACAUCAGUGUCACCUGAUCUUCUCUGAAGUCAGCAGUUAAACACAAAACGGUGACAAAACCAGGCUAGCCGGAGCUGUUUUCUGCGGACCCUGCAGAGAUGGCCCAGCGCUUCGGGGACAUCCUCCUCAGGAAAGAGACACAGAAGGUGCUCGCGCUCAUCCCCUUACAGGACGUACCUGGAGAGUCUGCGAGGGGGGCAGUAUGGCCACAGGUCUGGGGGAAGCUUCUGAACUUUGGGGUGAUCCGUCGGGGAUGUGGCGUCACAAAGAGCUGUUUCGGCGUCUGCCCGAAUUCCAAGAUCUGGGUUAGCAUGGCCACUUUCUCGUCCGGGUCCUCGAUGCUUCGGGUCAGAACAGAUAAUGCAGUGAGCGCCUUGAAAGCACAAACGUCAGAUACUGCAGGUCAUCGGGAGAGGGGUGAACCUUCACGUCGUUGCUGCUGACUGAGCAACCACUACCUGUGGGGGCCGUCCGGGCCCAUCACAGACCGUUAGGCCGCUUUCUGAGGCUCGGGGGCGAGAUAGAACUCAUCGUAAAACUUCCGUAUCUUAACAUUAUUUGCAGAGCAUUUAAAGAGACAUCGAACGGCACCCUUGUGAGCAACACUGGGAAAGAACCGGCGGCGGCGGUGGAAUUCUGCCUGUGUCUUUCUGUUCCAUGAAUAAGACACUCUGGGGCCCUUCACUGGAACUCAGGGCGCCCUUCUAGCAUAUUCUGACCAAAUAUCAGGUCGAUCCACUCGUGGAGGUGCUCUGACACGUAAGUGCUUUCCAGCGCGUCUCUGCUCUUCUGGAGGAAGUCCUCGGGACCUGUGUGGUUAGACGCCAUCAACACACCGCAGCCCUCAUUUCUUCCCUCCUGUUUCUCUCGUGCAGCGGAAGGCUCAGCAAGCUUCCGGGAGACGCAAGAAACUCACAGACCAUUUCGGAUUUGGAAGGGGACUGACAGUGCCUCAUUUACAGAGAAAACGAUACCGCCAUUUGAAAAAGAACCCAGGCCACUAUGUACGACAACACUGCGGGGACACUGCCAGGCGAGGAAGCGCUGGAACUCAGUACUUGUGCGGGGUACUCACUCCGCGCCCAGGGGGGCAGUUCAACGUCUUCCACCAUCUGCCCGCCCUGUCUCUUGCCCAGGUCCAACUUCAGACUAUUAACUAAAAAGCUGACGUCGUCGCCAUAGAAUUCUGGAAUCAACUGCACGUGUCAGGGGAAGAAAACAAAACAAAAUAAAUAAAUAAAACAAGGAAGAGCCACACUGUUUUUCCAAACAGCUAGAAACCACAAGCCCAGGGACUCCUCAGCUUCACUAACUGCUCACCUCUUUAAAGUCUGUGGCACCGUCCAAGCAGUUUCUCCAAGUUUCUGCAAUGCUGAGUACAAAACAGACAGACAAAAUCAAGCGAUCGGAAGUCUCAGGCGAGUGAAACACCGACCACAUCGCAGUCUACGCAGCUCAGGGUCGGCCUGCACUUCACCUGCACUGACUCACUUCUCUCCCUAACUCACAACGCUCAACGCGUGUACAGGGAAGCCCUCGCUGGGCUCACGCGGGAGGGACAUGGGCAAGGGCGCGGACCCGACGGGAGGCCCCGCACCCGCGCCGCCUCGCUGCAGGGCGAGGGCGGCCGCUGCGUAACCACGGACAACCUGGCGCGGCUGUUGUGCCAGCGCCGUGCAGAAAGGGAUUAGAAGGAGCAGCGCCCGGUGUGAAGACAGACUGAGGGGCGCACACGACAAGACCGAUGAGCGUCCUCUCAGCGUGCUGGGGGCCGAGGGAACCGAACUGUCCUCCUCUCCAUAUUUUCUGAUUUUUUUUUUUUGGCAGGGAAUUUACCUUUACCUUUACAAUUUAAAAAAAAGUUAAAUGCUCCAAGGAAAUGGUACUCAAUUAACAAUUAUCUAGUAUAACAAAAUGUUAGAAAUAGCCUAAUGACCAACAGCAGGGAAACUGCUUAAAUUAUGGCAUGGAUCAGGAUGUGAUAUGAUAAUUUAGAAAAUUGCUGUUUUGAAGCUCAUCUGAUAACAUGGGGGAAACUUCAACAUCUAAUAUAAGGCUGUAAUUAAGGCAGGACAAAAGCUGUAUUUAAAGAAGUUCAUACACUUA
Molecule: long non-coding RNA, 2609 nt
Organism: Suricata suricatta (meerkat)
Lineage: Eukaryota; Metazoa; Chordata; Mammalia; Carnivora; Herpestidae
Exons: 4
Source: RefSeq, a predicted model, not a curated record